This 519-nucleotide ribosomal RNA is filed under the name uncultured marine eukaryote. Its description in RNAcentral is "bacterial SSU rRNA". It matches the Rfam family "Eukaryotic small subunit ribosomal RNA", at positions 21 to 549 of the family's 1831-position model. The record is from RNAcentral.
UUGUCAUAUGCUUGUCUUAAAGACUAAGCCAUGCAGGUGUUAGUUCAGCAACAAAAUGCGAAACCGCGAUCGGCUCAUUAAAUCAGUUAUAGUUUAUCUGGAUGUUUUUAUAUGGAUAACUGCAGUAACUCUGUAGCCAAUACAUGAGUACACGUCUGAAACCUUUGGCGGUAAGACUACUUUUCUGCUUUUGACACAACGCUUUCGGGCGACUUGAUUUGAAUGUGCGUAAUUGAUUUACCAACUAGCCGUUGUGCUAUUGGAGCUAAUAAAAAGUUUCUGCCCCAUCAACUUUCGACGGUAGUGUAUUUGACUACGGUGGUUGUAACGGGUAACGGGGAAUCUGGGUUUGAUUCCGGAGAGGGAGCUUAACAGUUGGCUACCACAUCUAAGGAAGGCAGCAGGCGCGCAAAUUACCCAAUUUUGGAUCAAAGAGGUAGUGACAAAAAAUAACGAUACGGUACGAUAUGUGUUGUGAUUGGAAUGGAAUGAUCAUAAAGUAUUUUUUGAGGAGCAAGU